UAUGCAGUUAAUAGUGACAAGAUGAUAUAUGUGGCACUCAACUUGGUUGGUGCUAAAAAUAGUUCCGUUCUCUUGGAUCAUAUUGUAGAAAGGGACAGUUUUCGAGUAAAACCAGAGGAUGAGGUCAAAGAAGCACAGAAGAUGAAAGAGGCAAGCCAAAUGCUAGGCAUUGGUUCAGUUUUAAUAGCAACUGUGUCAUUCGGUGCAACUUUUGCUGUCCCGGGAGGUUUCAUAGCAGAUGAUCAUACAAAUCGAGGCACACCAACACUUGCUGGAAGGUAUACGUUUGAUGCAUUCAUGAUGGCAAACGCAUUAGCUUUUCUUUGCUCCUCAAUAGCUACUAUUGCUCUCAUGUUCACUGGAUCUCCUUUGAUGCUUGACAUAAUUCUCUUUGAACUCUGGCCUUUCGUACUUAUCUUCGGUUGGGCCGCAAUUGCUCGGAAGCUCCGAAACCUCUGA
Molecule: ribosomal RNA, 459 nt
Filed under: Triticum aestivum (bread wheat)
Lineage: Eukaryota; Viridiplantae; Streptophyta; Magnoliopsida; Poales; Poaceae
Description: partial small subunit ribosomal RNA
Source: RNAcentral